UGUCGCUGGCCUUCAACCGAGGCAUGUGCACNGCNNNCUUCUGGACUUUCGCCGUAUGGGCGCGGGGCGACCCNCNUCUUCAUAUACCUCUUCGUGUAGAAAGUCUUCGAAUGUUUUUACCAUCAUCGAGUCGCGACUUCUAGGAGACGCGAUUCUUUGAGACAAAAGUUAUCACAACUUUCAGCAAUGGAUCUCUUGGCUCUCGCAUCGAUGAAGAACGCAGCGAAUCGCGAUAUGUAAUGUGAAUUGCAGAUCUACAGUGAAUCAUCGAAUCUUUGAACGCACCUUGCGCUCCUCGGUGUUCCGAGGAGCAUGCCUGUUUGAGCGUCAGUAAAUUCUCAACCCCUCUCGAUUUGCUUCGAGUGGGGCUUGGAUAGUGGGGGCUGCCGGAGACCUGAAAUUCAUUUCGGGACUCGGGCUCCUCUGAAAUGCAUCGGCUUGCGGUCGACUUUCGACUUUGCGCGACAAAGCNUUCGGCGUGAUAAUGAUCGCCGUUCGCUGAAGCGCAUCAAUGAACGGUCCCGUGCCUCUAAUCAGUCGACGCCUUCCGGGCGUCUUCCUUAUAGACGUUUGACCUCAAAUCAGGUAGGACUACCCGCUGAACUUAAGCAUAUCAAUAAGCGGAGGAAAAGAAACUAACAAGGAUUCCCCUAGUAACUGCGAGUGAACCGGGAAAAGCUCAAAUUUUGAAUCUGGCGGUCUUUACGGUCGUCCGAGUUGUAAUCUAGAGAAGCGUCUUCCGCGCUGGACCGUGUAUAAGUUUCCUGGAAUGG
Molecule: ribosomal RNA, 773 nt
Filed under: Suillus flavidus
Lineage: Eukaryota; Fungi; Basidiomycota; Agaricomycetes; Boletales; Suillaceae
Description: eukaryotic LSU rRNA
Rfam family: 5.8S ribosomal RNA (bases 176-330)
Source: RNAcentral